Orcinus orca (killer whale) is the source of this 284-nucleotide long non-coding RNA. RefSeq lists it as uncharacterized. The transcript has 3 exons. NCBI's taxonomy places the organism in Eukaryota, Metazoa, Chordata, Mammalia, Artiodactyla, Delphinidae. The record is from RefSeq and is a predicted model, not a curated record.
AUCACAUCACAAGCCGGAAGGAAGGAAUUUGGUGCUGAUUAGACCAAAGUGUCUGAUGGUAACAAAUUCUCUGUUUCUGUCUGAAAUGUCUUUACAUUGCCUUCGUUUCUGAGGACAAGUUUUGGUGUGUAUGGAUGUAGCUUUCCUGUGCUGCACCUAGACGAGGUUCUAUUUAUACAGGCACACCUUGUUUUAUUGUGCUUCGCUUUGUUGCGACUUGCAGAUAUCAUGCUUUUACAAGUGGAAAGUUUGUGGCAAACUGGCAUGAGCAAAUCUGCUGACUC